GGGUCGUUGGCGUUCGAACGUCGGUUAAGGUUCAGUCGUACUUCGAAGUGCAGUGACCCUUAAUCAGCGUUCGAAUGUUGGUGACCCCUUAACUGUAGUCCAAAUGCCGGUUAAAGGUGUUCCGUUAUUCUAACCUCAAAAGCGUUGCUCCGAUGAAGAACCAAGACCUGAUCACCACUCAACCACCAGAGACCACCAAAACAGG
RNAcentral lists this long non-coding RNA (205 nucleotides) under Vigna radiata. RNAcentral's name for it is "long non-coding RNA (VRAD_LNC000708)". Lineage: Eukaryota; Viridiplantae; Streptophyta; Magnoliopsida; Fabales; Fabaceae. The record is from RNAcentral.